RNAcentral lists this ribosomal RNA (253 nucleotides) under uncultured bacterium. RNAcentral's name for it is "partial 16S ribosomal RNA". It matches the Rfam family "Bacterial small subunit ribosomal RNA", at positions 524 to 776 of the family's 1533-position model. The record is from RNAcentral.
UACGUAGGGUGCAAGCGUUAUCCGGAAUUACUGGGCGUAAAGAGUGCGUAGGUGGUUUUUUAAGUUAGAUGUUAAAUCUGCAGGCUCAACUUGUAGGCCGCGUCUAAUACUGAAAAACUUGAGAUCGGAAGGGGCAGACGGAACUCACGGUGGAGCGGUGAAAUGCGUAGAUAUCGUGAGGAACACCGAUGGCGAAGGCAGUCUGCUGGGCCGAUUCUGACACUGAGGCACGAAAGCGUGGGGAGCGAUCGGG